RNAcentral lists this ribosomal RNA (305 nucleotides) under uncultured bacterium. Its description in RNAcentral is "bacterial SSU rRNA". It matches the Rfam family "Bacterial small subunit ribosomal RNA", at positions 335 to 639 of the family's 1533-position model. The record is from RNAcentral.
AACCCUACGGACGCAGCAGUGAGGAAUAUUGGUCAAUGGGCGAGAGCCUGAACCAGCCAAGUCGCGUGAGGGAGUACUGCCCUAUGGGUUGUAAACCUCUUUUGUCGGGGAGCAAAAGCCGGACGUGUCCGGCUGUGAGAGUACCCGAAGAAAAAGCAUCGGCUAACUCCGUGCCAGCAGCCGCGGUAAUACGGAGGAUCCGAGCGUUAUCCGGAUUUAUUGGGUUUAAAGGGAGCGUAGAUGGGUUGUUAAGUCAGUUGUGAAAGUUUGCGGCUCAACCGUAAAAUUGCAAUUGAUACUGGCAG